AAUCAACGCUGGCGGCGUGCCUCAGACAUGCAAGUCGAACGAUUAAAGCUCUCUUCGGAGAGUGUAUAGAGUGGCGCACGGGUGAGUAACACGUAAGUAAUCUACCUUUGAGUGGGGAAUAACCCGGGGAAACCCGAGCUAAUACCGCAUAAUGCAGCGGCAUCGCAAGAUGACAGUUGUUAAAGGAGCAAUCCGCUUAAAGAGGAGCUUGCGGCAGAUUAGCUAGUUGGUAAGGUAAUGGCUUACCAAGGCUACGAUCUGUAUCCGGUCUAAGAGGACGGUCGGACACACUGACACUGAAUAACGGGUCAGACUCCUACGGGA
Molecule: ribosomal RNA, 324 nt
Filed under: uncultured bacterium
Lineage: Bacteria
Description: bacterial SSU rRNA
Rfam family: Bacterial small subunit ribosomal RNA
Source: RNAcentral